Molecule: long non-coding RNA, 508 nt
Organism: Helianthus annuus (common sunflower)
Lineage: Eukaryota; Viridiplantae; Streptophyta; Magnoliopsida; Asterales; Asteraceae
Exons: 3
Source: RefSeq, a predicted model, not a curated record
AGAAGGAGAGAGAAAGGAAGAACCCCUUGCAACUUUCAAGCACAAAAUAUAGAAAUCAAGAGUGAAAUCAAGUGGAUUUUGAUUGCAUGUUUGAAGGUUCUAGCUCUCUAACAUCAUCUAAACCUACAAAUCACAAGUUUGACUCUUGACAAGCUAGGUGGAACCUUGGAAAGGAAUGGGUCAAGCGGGUCAAAAGCGCGAGAAAGCAUGAACGUACGCAAGGCUUUUUCAAAAGAGGGAAACAAGCGGAAGGACCACCCAGCUCGCGAAGAACUGAACACUCCUAUACUGCAUUUUUUCCGCCAGAGAAUCCUUUCGGGAACAUUUAAGCAUGUUCAUGCAUGGCAAAGCUUUCGAGUUUAAAACCUUUAUAAUGUAAAACAAGUGUAAUAAUUGGUUAUGCCGAUUCGUCGGGUUAUCUAUCAACCGAGACUGUUUGAUAUACAAAAAAAAAAAUCUAGGACCUAAUCUUUCAAACUUGUAAGUUAUUUGGUCUUAACGGGAUAGA